AGCGAACGCUGGCGGCGUGCCUAACACAUGCAAGUCGAACGUGAAAAGGGAAACCUGAGUAAAGUGGCGUACGGGUGAGUAACGCGUAGGUAAUCUACCCCAGAAUCUGGAAUAACCUGCCGAAAGGCGGGCUAAUACUGGAUAGAGCGAGGGAACUCGUAAGAGAGUUUUUCGGGAAAGGGAGCCCGCAAGGGCCUUCGUUCUGGGAUGAGCCUGCGUCUCAUUAGCUAGUUGGUAAGGUAACGGCUUACCAAGGCGAUGAUGAGUAGCUGGUCUGAGAGGAUGAUCAGCCACACUGGAACUGAAACACGGUCCAGACUCCUACGGGAGGCAGCAGUGGGGAAUCUUGCGCAAUGGACGAAAGUCUGACGCAGCCACGCCGCGUGAGUGAAGAAGGCCUUCGGGUUGUAAAGCUCUGUCGGAUGGGACGAACAUCUUCAUAGUGAAUAGCUAUGAGGACUGACGGUACCAUCAAAGGAGGCACCGGCUAACUCCGUG
This 498-nucleotide ribosomal RNA is filed under the name uncultured bacterium. RNAcentral describes it as "partial 16S ribosomal RNA". It matches the Rfam family "Bacterial small subunit ribosomal RNA", at positions 29 to 507 of the family's 1533-position model. The record is from RNAcentral.